Molecule: ribosomal RNA, 465 nt
Filed under: uncultured bacterium
Lineage: Bacteria
Description: partial 16S ribosomal RNA
Rfam family: Bacterial small subunit ribosomal RNA
Source: RNAcentral
CCUACGGUGUGCAGCAGUGGGGAAUCUUGCGCAAUGGGCGAAAGCCUGACGCCGCGACGCCGCGUGCGGGAUGAAGGUCUUCGGAUCGUCAACCUCUGUCAACAGGGCAGAACGGUCACUGUGCUAAUCAGCAGUGAAUUGACGGUACAUGCAAGGGAAGCACCCGCUAACUCCGUGCCAGCAGCCGCGGUAAUCCGGAGGGUGCGAGCGUUAAUCGGAAUUACUGGGCGUACAGCGCUCGUCGGCUGUAUGUCAAGGCAAGGGUGAAUUCCCCGCGCUCAACGUGGGAACUGCCUUUGAACCUGGCAAACUGGAGUGUGUGAGAGGAUAGUGGAAUUCCAGGUGUAGGAGUGAAAUCCGUAGAUAUCUGGAGGAACAUCAGUGGCGAAGGCGACUAUCUGGCACAUAACUGACGCUGAGGAGCGAAAGCGUGGGUAGCAAACAGGAUUAGAUACCCCAGUAGUC